AAACCUUAGUAAUAACACACCUUUAGAAUUGCAGUCUAAUAUCAUUAAUAUGACUACAAAGCU
Molecule: transfer RNA, 63 nt
Filed under: Phyllomimus sinicus
Lineage: Eukaryota; Metazoa; Arthropoda; Insecta; Orthoptera; Tettigoniidae
Description: tRNA-Cys
Source: RNAcentral